CCCUUAGAUGUUCUGGGCUGCACGCGUGCUACAAUGGCGUUUCCAGCAAGUCUGCGAACCCGAGAGGGCCAGCGGAUCUUCGAAUUGGCGUCGUGAUCGGGACAGUCGAUUGCAAUUAUUUGACUCAAACGAGGAAUUCCUUGUAAUCGCGAUUCAUCAUAUCGCGCUGAAUACGUCCCUGCCCUUUGUACACACCGCCCGUCGCUCCUACCGAUUGAAUGCUCAGGUGAGCCAUUCGGACUUUCAUCAUGCUGGUUUCCAGUUUUGAUGAAGGAAAGUCUUGCGAACCUUAUCAUUUAGAGGAAGGAGAAGUCGUAACA
Molecule: ribosomal RNA, 320 nt
Filed under: uncultured eukaryote
Lineage: Eukaryota
Description: partial 18S ribosomal RNA
Rfam family: Eukaryotic small subunit ribosomal RNA
Source: RNAcentral